Molecule: ribosomal RNA, 588 nt
Filed under: uncultured Gammaproteobacteria bacterium
Lineage: Bacteria; Pseudomonadati; Pseudomonadota; Gammaproteobacteria
Description: partial 16S ribosomal RNA
Source: RNAcentral
CGUUGGGAGCUCUCCCAUAUGGUCGACCUGCAGGCGGCCGCGAAUUCACUAGUGAUUCGUAUUACCGCGGCUGCUGGCACAGAGUUAGCCGGUGCUUAUUCUGUCGGUAACGUCAAAACACUAACGUAUUAGGUUAAUGCCCUUCCUCCCAACUUAAAGUGCUUUACAAUCCGAAGACCUUCUUCACACACGCGGCAUGGCUGGAUCAGGCUUUCGCCCAUUGUCCAAUAUUCCCCACUGCUGCCUCCCGUAGGAGUCUGGACCGUGUCUCAGUUCCAGUGUGACUGAUCAUCCUCUCAGACCCGCUACAGAUCGUCGCCUUAGUAGGCCUUUACCCCACCAACUAGCUAAUCCGACUUAGGCUCAUCUAUUAGCGCAAGGCCCGAAGGUCCCCUGCUUUCUCCCGUAGGACGUAUGCGGUAUUAGCAUCCCUUUCGAGAUGUUGUCCCCCACUAAUAGGCAGAUUCCUAAGCAUUACUCACCCGUCCGCCGCUAGGUCAAGUAGCAAGCUACUCUUCCCCGCUCGACUUGCGUGUGUUAAGCCUGCCCCCAGCGUUCAAUCUGAGCCAUGAUCAAACUCUAAUCGAA